UUAAGUCCCGCAACGAGCGCAACCCUUGUCUUUAGUUGCCAUCAUUAAGUUGGGCACUCUAAAGAGACUGCCGGUGUCAAACCGGAGGAAGGUGGGGAUGACGUCAAGUCCUCAUGGCCUUUAUGACCGGGGCUACACACGUACUACAAUGGCAGGUACAAAGGGCAGCCACUUAGCGAUAAGGCGCGAAUCCCGUAAAACCUGUCUCAGUCCGGAUUGGAGUCUGCAACUCGACUCCAUGAAGUUGGAAUCGCUAGUAAUCGCAGAUCAGCACGCUGCGGUGAAUACGUUCCCGGGCCUU
This 301-nucleotide ribosomal RNA is filed under the name uncultured Desulfocapsa sp. RNAcentral's name for it is "bacterial SSU rRNA". It matches the Rfam family "Bacterial small subunit ribosomal RNA", at positions 1080 to 1382 of the family's 1533-position model. Lineage: Bacteria; Pseudomonadati; Thermodesulfobacteriota; Desulfobulbia; Desulfobulbales; Desulfocapsaceae. The record is from RNAcentral.